This 458-nucleotide ribosomal RNA is filed under the name uncultured bacterium. Its description in RNAcentral is "bacterial SSU rRNA". It matches the Rfam family "Bacterial small subunit ribosomal RNA", at positions 29 to 534 of the family's 1533-position model. The record is from RNAcentral.
AACGAACGCUGGCGGCAUGCCUAACACAUGCAAGUCGAACGAGACCUUCGGGUCUAGUGGCGCACGGGUGCGUAACGCGUGGGAACCUGCCUUUAGGUUCGGAAUAACUCAGAGAAAUUUGAGCUAAUACCGGAUAAUGUCUUCGGACCAAAGAUUUAUCGCCUUUAGAUGGGCCCGCGUUGGAUUAGCUAGUUGGUGGGUAAAGCCUACCAAGGCGACGAUCCAUAGCUGGUCUGAGAGGAUGAUCAGCCACACUGGGACUGAGACACGGCCCAGACUCCUACGGGAGGCAGCAGUGGGGAAUAUUGGACAAUGGGCGAAAGCCUGAUCCAGCCAUGCCGCGUGUGUGAAGAAGGUCUUCGGGUCGUAAAGCUCUUUUACCAGGGAUGAUAAUGACAGUACCUGGAGAAUAAGCUCCGGCUAACUCCGUGCCAGCAGCCGCGGUAAUGUGACUACUG